This is a long non-coding RNA of Dermacentor albipictus, 590 nucleotides long. RefSeq lists it as uncharacterized. Lineage: Eukaryota; Metazoa; Arthropoda; Arachnida; Ixodida; Ixodidae. The record is from RefSeq and is a predicted model, not a curated record.
GAGGCCCGCCGGGUACCUGCAGAGCCAUCGCCAUAGGCAUAGCUUGUGUUGUCGCCGCCGGGCGGCUUGGUCAAACGGGUGUAUUCUGUCUGGUGUCACAUGUGAAUUUAGCGCGAGAUACGUGUUGUGAUUUUACGUGCGAUCCGUCGUACGACGCGUUGGAGUUUGACUUGCUGCAUACGACGAUUCGGGACACAUGACUGCGCAAGGCAUGUACAGUUUUCAAGCAUUAACUGUGCCAAUACAGCUCACGGGGUAGCGAGGCAGCAUAUGGUGGGUCCACAGGAGGACAGUAUAGCUUUGCUGACCUCACCCUAUUGUCCACCGACGGUAAGCCCCACCGCAUAUGCAUGGUUUGGAACUGUAAAAAUUCCACAGGAACUGUAGUGGAGCGGCCAGCCAUCUCCUCCUCCAACUCGCCAAUGCUCCCAGUGCUCCGCCGAAGUCCAUGGAGCAUCGAGGCCUUCCAGCUGUCAAGCUGCCACUACGGAAAGUGCCAAGUCACAUCAGGGACGCCGCCACCUCUGUAACUUCUGUGACUAUAAGACUGAUAAUGUAUGUCAUCUGAAAAGACACACCAUGUGCCAUAC